CUCGUGUCCCUGUACUCACAUACCUCACUGCAUGUCCUCUUACUCACAUACUUCAUUGCGUGUCCCUUUACAUACAUACCUCACUGCGUUUCUCUUUAAAUACAUACCUCACUGCAUGUCCCCUUACUCACAUACCUCACUGCGUAUCCCUUUAAAUACAUACCUCACUGCGUGUCUCUUUAAAUACAUACCUCACUGCGUAUCCCUUUAAAUACAUACCUCACUGCGUGUCUCUUUAAAUACAUACCUCACUUCGUGUCCCCUUACUCACAUACUUCAUUG
Molecule: non-coding RNA, 282 nt
Organism: Pelobates cultripes (western spadefoot toad)
Lineage: Eukaryota; Metazoa; Chordata; Amphibia; Anura; Pelobatidae
Source: the annotation of a GenBank genome assembly